AUUGAACGCUGGCGGCAGGCCUAACACAUGCAAGUCGAACGGCAGCACAGAAGAGCUUGCUCUUUGGGUGGCGAGUGGCGGACGGGUGAGUAACACGUAGGAAUCUACCCAGUAGUGGGGGAUAACCUGGGGAAACCCAGGCUAAUACCGCAUACGCCCUGAGGGGGAAAGCGGGGGAUCUUCGGACCUCGCGCUAUUGGAUGAGCCUGCGUCGGAUUAGCUAGUUGGUGGGGUAAGGGCCCACCAAGGCGACGAUCCGUAGCUGGUCUGAGAGGAUGACCAGUCACACCGGAACUGAGACACGGUCCGGACUCCUACGGGAGGCAGCAGUGGGGAAUAUUGGACAAUGGGCGCAAGCCUGAUCCAGCCAUGCCGCGUGGGUGAAGAAGGCCU
This 393-nucleotide ribosomal RNA is filed under the name uncultured bacterium. Its description in RNAcentral is "bacterial SSU rRNA". It matches the Rfam family "Bacterial small subunit ribosomal RNA", at positions 29 to 417 of the family's 1533-position model. The record is from RNAcentral.